This 301-nucleotide ribosomal RNA is filed under the name uncultured bacterium. RNAcentral's name for it is "partial 16S ribosomal RNA". It matches the Rfam family "Bacterial small subunit ribosomal RNA", at positions 509 to 807 of the family's 1533-position model. The record is from RNAcentral.
CAGUAGCCGCGGUAAUACGAAGGGUGCAAGCGUUAAUCGGAAUUACUGGGCGUAAAGGGUGCGUAGGCGGUUGUUUAAGUCUGUUGUGAAAUCCCCGGGCUCAACCUGGGAAUGGCAAUGGAAACUGGACGGCUAGAGUGUGUCAGAGGAUGGUGGAAUUCCCGGUGUAGCGGUGAAGUGCGUAGAGAUCGGGCGGAACAUCAGUGGCGAAGGCGGCCAUCUGGGACAACACUGACGCUGAAGCACGAAAGCGUGGGGAGCAAACAGGAUUAGAUACCCCCGUAGUCCCUGUCUCUUAUAC